Oncorhynchus tshawytscha (Chinook salmon) is the source of this 519-nucleotide long non-coding RNA. Lineage: Eukaryota; Metazoa; Chordata; Actinopteri; Salmoniformes; Salmonidae. The record is from Ensembl.
GAGGGUGUGUGAGAGAGUGUGUGAGAGGGUGUGUGAGAGGGUGUGUGUGAGAGGGUGUGUGAGAGAGUGUGUGAGAGGGUGUGUGAGAGGGUGUCUGAGAGAGUGUGUGAGAGGGUGUGUGAGAGAGGGUGUGAGAGGGUGUGUGAGAGGGUGUGUGAGAGGGUGUGUGAGAGAGGGUGUGUGAGAGGGUGUGUGAGAGAGUGUGUGAGAGGGUGUGUGAGAGAGUGUGUGAGAGGGUGUGUGAGAGGGUGUGUGAGAGAGUGUGUGAGAGGGUGUGUGAGAGGGUGUGUGAGAGAGUGUGUGAGAGGGUGUGUGAGAGGGUGUGUGAGAGAGUGUGUGAGAGGGUGUGUGAGACGGUCAGUGAGAAGGGCGAGAAAGCCUGAAGGGAGUCUCCACGGCUGGGCUGAGAUGUUUGGUUAAUCCUGUCGUUGUUUUGAAAAAAACCCCACAAUAUACAGUUUUUAACAAUACGCACACGCGUCUAGAGACGGAACCAACCAUUUCGGGGCUAAAUCCGUG